Molecule: long non-coding RNA, 3098 nt
Organism: Lathyrus oleraceus (garden pea)
Lineage: Eukaryota; Viridiplantae; Streptophyta; Magnoliopsida; Fabales; Fabaceae
Exons: 3
Source: RefSeq, a predicted model, not a curated record
AGAUUUUUGAAUUUAUAAUUAAUUUGAGGUAGUGAAUUUAAUUUCAUGUAUUUAGGGGUUUUUUUAGUUUUUUUAAUUGAAUGAAACAGCUUUCAAGAGUAUAAUAAUUAAAUACUUUGAAUUCGAUUUUGCGACACUAAUAGGGUUUAGCUAAAAUGUUUAGUAUUUAAUCAAGACCUAAGUUAACAACCAAAACCGUAAUGAAGGGAGCACUUAUUUGUUUUCUUUUAAAAGAAAAUAUUCCUUUAAUCAUAAUAAUCUGGACAAAUAAAUAAAGGAAAUAUAAAUUAAAAAAAACAAUGAUUAAAUUAAAGCUAGGAAAAUAAUAAUCAUAAAAAUAAAAAAAAAGUAAAUCAAGAAAACAGGGGUGCAGAAGUGAAAUAAGAGGUUGAAGCCCAUAUGAAAAAUCGUGAGGCCCAAAGCUUUAUUUCCUCUACCAGAUUGGAUAGGUCCGGAAGCCCAAAGAUCUCUUAUGCUACCCGAUCCACAGGCGGACUCACCAGGGAAACACGUGGCCAUGAUUCAAUGUAUUUCCACUACCACAUGGCAGAAUGAUAAGUAUACCAGCUUUGGAAACUGGCACAGGUGACAGCUAGCUACCCUAUGCUACUUGAAAAGAUGAGAACGCGGUCACGAGGCAACGGUUAGAUGCAUCCUUUCACUUUCAAAAUAAAAUAUAGUUUAACAAUGUAAAAUGGUCACCUUAGACUUUCUAAUAAGAAGUCCUGGGAUGCGUCUUCCAUCUUCGGCAUCACCGGCGCGACGGUGGGGAAACCGACAAUGGCGCCGCCGUCAGCCUAAAACAUCGACCUAAUAAACACCCUUCUCUUCUCCCCUGUCUAAAACCUACUUAAAUCUCAAAUAAUGGUGAUACUUAACCGGACUUGAAUCAUGUCGUAUAUUCUACUAACGAAAACCAGAAUCCGACCAAUGGUCGAUGAUUCAGCGAAACAAAAAAAACAGGUUUAAACCAAGUUAAAGAGCCUUGGAUCCAGCUCAAUCAACGACAACAAGUUAAGCAACAAGAUAUUCGAUGGUCACUACGAAGACAUUUAAAGGAAAAGAGAAUCUACCAACUUCCAGGAGGUCAAGCUCUUCAAGCCCUGAUUUUCGAUAUAAAAGUGAGAGUUGAAACAAAGGACUGAUUGAGCUUUAAUGGGGGUUUUCGAUUUGAAUUUCGGUCAGCAUUUAUGCAGAGUAACAACAGGAUUUUUUCCUCUUUUCUUACAAUGAUUGGUGGCCUUUAUAUAGAGCCUUUGGGUACCAGGUUUCUUUCCUCUUCACCCCCUAUGAGCUGGCGAGCGGAUCAAGAUUUUUCCGUUAGGGAAAAUCUCUCACAGAUUCUGCGUGGUCCUCCAAACGGAAGUGGUCCCAAAAUGAAAAUAUUAAACAUUUGGUUUUGUCUGUAGCGAAAGCUUCAAAAAUGUGACCCAUCCCACUGACUCCUUCAUUAAACCUUCACUGCACUAAAAUGUAUGCUUGCUGUGGUAAGAAAACUUGAUUUUUACUGUUAUGUAAUUUCAUCCUCAAACCCCUUACGACCCUUAACUAUUCCUUAUUUUGCAAGUGUGGUCUUCUUUUUCUGUCAACUGAUAUGACAGGGCGUUUCCUCACAACUUCCAGAAUUUUAAGCUUCUCUUGGUUUAUGCAGCUAACAUGAUGUUACUGCACUCGUAUUAAGCUGCUAUGCAGUCCAUGCCGGUCUGUUGUGGAAUGGAUAAAACAUUUCCAGGAUAUGGUUAUGGAUACUGAGGCGAAUGCCAGAGCAUGGUUGAUGAAGAGUGUGUACCAACUCGGGUGUGGUUGUUUUCUUAAGGCUACGUUUCUGUUGUCUAUUCGUAUGAUAAUUGUGUCUGCACUUUGACCACUGCAACAUUUGAUUUCCGUUUGGACGUUGCUUGGUAUCGUGGCUCCUUGUGUUGUCGUGUUAUGCCGAUGCUUAUGUUGCUCACGUUCCAAUUUGAUGGCCAUUGGUUUGCAGGACAUGUGAUUGGUGACUUAGCAUGAAGGUAAUAGAUGUCAUUUUGCAGGUGAGACGGUAAAGUUAUCAAUUACGACAACAUGUUAUUCUAUGGCAACAACAACCACUUCAACGUCAAACUUGGCAUAAAUACAUGGCAAAACUCCUACCAUGAGCACGGCCAUCAAUGCGACAUAACGGAGCAGCAUGAAAAUGAUCCUCAUCAUGUUACGAUAUAACAGGACUGCAUGAUCAAGGCUUCAUGGCUUAAUGUCAUCCUUGGGGUUUUCCAAUAAUUCUUGAAGUAUAUUAUGGCAAUUCCUUCCAAUGCCCAAGAGUAAUUAAACUCUAAAGGUUUCCAUAUGUUCCUUAAAUAUUCCUGAAGUCAACACAUUCCAUUUCUUUGCAAAAAUCUGCAGAAGGAGAAUCCCACAAAACACAUCACUUCAAAGGUUGAACAUCACUUUGUCGGAAUUGGAAGUAUCAUGAAGAGCAACUCUCAUCCACCACCAAUAUCACCGGCUUCACUACUGCCAUGUCAAGCCUCGCCUCUUCAAAGCUUCAGCGAUAGUACAAAGGUGCAGCAAUUCCUCUAGCAAAUUCAAUGGCUAACAAUCAUCCCGAAUACGAAUCAUUGUUGUAGGCGGUGAUGGUGAUAACGUCACCAUGUGAGACUCCAAGAUGGAGAAGGCCGUGUGCUAGUAAUGUUACUUCCUCCACAGACUGUUGCCUGGUUUUGUGGUGGUUUCCAGAAAUGGUUUGUGCUUUGAGGUUUCACCGGUCGGGUAUAGCUGGCCUAAAUCAGUUCUGGUUACUUUGUCUUUGGUGUAAUAAGAUACCUGUAUUUAUGUACUAUCUAGUGGCUGUUUGUUUCGGUGAUGUAAAGUCAUUUCUUCUGUCGGAUGUAUUAUUCAUUGGUUUAUAUUAAUCCUGUAACUGCACCAUGGUCUGUCAUGUGUUGUUGAUCAAAAUAAUGGUUUGCAGGUUGUACUGUAGGUCGGUAAAUGCAGACUGUAAUUCGGUUUGUGAACAUAUUUUGGAAAUGUGUUGUCUCUUGGUUCACGUCUUCAUGGUGUGGGAUUAUAAGUUAUGGCUAAUGUAAGUUUGCUUAUGAUGGUGUUAUUCAUGUGUACUUAGA